UUGAGAUUCACUUCCAUUUAAAGAAAAAUACUUUCUUUUCCAGCAAAGAAUUGCUGCUCUGCAUUUAUUUAAAUUGGUUCAUGAUUUCAUUUCCAUCCUCUUUUCUACUGCUCAAGUGGGAGAAAUCUAGUGAAAGCGUAAUCUAAGGACUAAUGAGCAAACUGCUAAGUGCUGGUUUAGUGAAAGUUGAUUUUUCAGUAUUUCACUGGUUGGAAAAAGUGCACUUUUAAAGAUUUUUACCAAGUGUAUCACUAAUAUUGUGUCAGCUAUUUUCCAGUGAUCUGGAUAUGGCCAGAAGAUUGAAGUUGCAAGGGAAGAGGACGUAACUGAAAUCCUAAACACUCUUCGAGGCCAUUUCCCACCACUGUAAGUACUCUAAAUGAUGGCUGCAAGGUAUGCUUCCAAAAAGAUCAGGAAAUAUACUAAAAUGUGAGUACUGAUUAUUUUUCAGUGAGUAAAUUUUAAGAAAUGAAAAUGCUACUUCCCAUAGCUCAGGGUAAAUAAAUUUAAAAACCUAUACAAAACAGAGAAUUACCUGGGAUAACACAAUUGACCAAAACAAUCAAAAGUGCAACAAGAUAAUUCCCGCAUUUAUUAAGGUAGAAUAACUGGAUUUUUAAAAAGCUCUUCUUUAGAGUCGUUCAACAAAGAUAUUAAGUUCCAGAACUAAACAUCUUGCCUUUUGCAGCAACAUGCACGGAACUAGAGAGUAUUAUGCUCAGUGAAAUAAGUCAAUCAGAAAAGGACAAUUACCAUAUGCUCUCACUCACAUGUGGAAUUUAAGAAACAAAACAGAGGAUCAUAGAGGAAGAGAGAAGAAAAUAAAAGAAGAUGAAAUCAAAGAGGGAUACAAAAUAGAAUUAGAUUUGUUUGUUUCAUGGAAUUUUUCUAGAACUUCUCUAUAAAACAACGUGACAAUCUGAUAAAUGCAUAUAUUGCCAAAUGAUUACCACAAUAAGAAUCAUGGACCUGUCUUCUGAGAUCAUUGAUUAUCUCACAAAAGUUCUUCAGCAAGUCCCUUGAUGUAGACUUAUUUAUGGCAAUCUCUUUAUAUAUAAAUAAAAUAUGUAUUUCAUCUGAAAAUAUGUUUAGUCUGUCUUCCCUUUUGAUUUUUUUUUUUCAGGAAUACAGAAGUUGAAGGUAGUUUUCUCCUAGCCCUUCAAAUGUAUUAUUCCCUGC
Molecule: long non-coding RNA, 1179 nt
Filed under: Mustela putorius furo (domestic ferret)
Lineage: Eukaryota; Metazoa; Chordata; Mammalia; Carnivora; Mustelidae
Description: lncRNA (ENSMPUG00000031257.1)
Source: RNAcentral